ACUCCUACGGGAGGCAGCAGUGGGAAUAUUGGACAAUGGGCGCAAGCCUGAUCCAGCCAUGCCGCGUGAGUGAAGAAGGCCCUAGGGUUGUAAAGCUCUUUCGCACGCGACGAUGAUGACGGUAGCGUGAGAAGAAGCCCCGGCUAACUUCGUGCCAGCAGCCGCGGUAAUACGAAGGGGCAAGCGUUGUUCGGAUUUACUGGGCGUAAAGGGCGCGUAGGCGGAUGCGCAAGUCAGAGGUGAAAGCCCUGGGCUCAACCCGGGAACUGCCUUUGAAACUGCACGUCUUGAGUGCGGGAGAGGGUGGCGGAAUACCCAGUGUAGAGGUGAAAUUCGUAGAUAUUGGGUAGAACACCGGUGGCGAAGGCGGCCACCUGGCCCGCAACUGACGCUGAGGCGCGAAAGCGUGGGGAGCAAACAGGAUUAGAUACCCUGGUAGGCUCUGC
This 446-nucleotide ribosomal RNA is filed under the name uncultured bacterium. RNAcentral describes it as "bacterial SSU rRNA". It matches the Rfam family "Bacterial small subunit ribosomal RNA", at positions 335 to 800 of the family's 1533-position model. The record is from RNAcentral.